Molecule: RNA transcript, 2017 nt
Organism: Cornus florida
Lineage: Eukaryota; Viridiplantae; Streptophyta; Magnoliopsida; Cornales; Cornaceae
Exons: 7
Source: RefSeq, a predicted model, not a curated record
AAUAAGGUAUGAAACUGCCCUCUCUGACACACACAGACACACUCUUUCUCUCUUCGCUCACCCCUCCCGAGAACCAUACUUCAGAAUCUCCGAAUUCUUCCAUCUUCUCACAACUUCUCAACUCUCCGUCGAAUUUUGGUAUCUUUUAUUUUCCUUCAACUUUAAAAUCACUCAACAUGCAAUUUCUGACUCUCUAACGCAGAUUGGACUGGUUGGUUGUUUUCAUUUGUGGUAACAAUGGCAAUUAAGAUUGGGUCUUCAUUUUCUUGUGUUUCCACCUCUCUUUAUUCUCCUUCCCAAUCCAGAAGAAGUUCACAGAUGAGCUUGUCACGAGGAUUGUUUGACAGCCUGAAAUUUGAUGCAGAGCAGCUGAGAAAUGCUAAAGUAGCAAUGUCAUGCCAGUUGAUUAAUACAACGAUGAAAGUAAAGAAAAGGUUCCCAGAGAGGCGUUUAAUUCUCUUUGCUACAUCUGAAGAUCAGUUACCAUACAGUGAGAUCAAACUAGAUGCUUCAGAGCAGGAGAAGCACCAUUCUGCCACUGAAGAUCUCUCUCCCACAAACAGUUUAAAUUUCCAUAGUGAAGGAUCUGGAGGUAAACCAGGUUUAAUAUCAUUUUAUAAUCGUCCUUAUAAAAGUGAAGGUGAAAGUAGUACAUUGAGAGUCGGAAGGAGCCAAAACAGUAUGCUGUGGUUUGUUGGUCCAGCGGUCCUUGUAGCCUCUUUCAUUUUUCCUUCCCUUUAUUUGCGGAAGAUGCUCUCUGCUAUAUUUGAGGACUCUCUAUUAACAGAUUUCCUCAUUUUGUUCUUCACAGAGGCUCUUUUUUACUGUGGGGUUGCGGUGUUUCUUCUGCUUGUAGACCAUUUAUGGAGGCCCAUUGAGCUAGUUUCAGCUGGAAACAAAAGCCCAGUCCCUCAGUUGGGGCAACGUAUCUCUUCUGUUGCUGUCUUGGUACUUAGUCUUAUAAUUCCUAUGGUGACAAUGGGUUUGGUUUGGCCGUGGACUGGCCCUGCUGCUUCUGCUACUCUUGCCCCAUACCUUGUAGGUAUUGUUGUGCAGUUCGCGUUUGAGCAAUACGCAAGAUAUAGGAAGUCAUCUUCAUGGCCUGUCAUUCCCAUUAUCUUUCAAGUUUAUAGAUUGCACCAAUUGAAUAGAGCAGCACAACUGGUGACGGCCCUCUCCUUCACUGUAAGAGGAGCUGAGAUGACAUCGCACAAUGUGGCAAUAAACAGUUCAUUGGGUACAUUGUUGAACGUCCUUCAAUUCCUAGGAGUGAUUUCUAUCUGGUCCCUCUCGAGCUUCCUCAUGAGGUUGUUCCCUUCUGCCACCAUGGCUGAGCAGUGAGGCGUGAUCUUCACAAAAAAGGAGAAUGGUUCCCUAUGAACCUUUGGGAUAUAUGGCCCUUUAGAUGACUCUCAACAGGGUGUGUUGUGGAUGGAACUUGGGUAUGAUCAUAGGAAGUGGAAUUUCUCGGACUAUGUUCGGCUGCAUGGAAUUGGAUUUGGUGGAAUUGGAGAAAAAAAAAAAGUUCAAAAUUACAGAAAAUUGGACUUAGGUAAUGUUCGGUUUCAUGAAAUUGGAAUCUUGAAAUUAGAGUUGGUGGAAUUGAAAAAAAUUCUAGUUCAAUUUUUUUGUAACUUUGAACCAAACUUUUCUCUAAUUUCACUGAUUCCACUUCCGUACAACCGAACAUAGCUUAAAAUUUUCUCUAAUUUCAAUUCCAAAACUCCAAUUUUAUGUAUAUGGUGGUCAUGGCAAGGAAAUGACGAAUGAGAAUCCUCCGCAAGCUUGAAAGUUGUUAGAAGAUUUUUUUUUUUUGCUAUUUUGUAUUUGGUCAUUUCAUGUAUAAUUGUAGUUUUUGGAAUGUAAAUAAGUUUGAAUACAUGGCCAUUGGACAAUGUUAUUAAGUGUUACUCACUCAAAAUCAGUUCGUGUAUUUUAAGUAACAUGUGGCAAAUGACGUUAACAACGUGGUUGUUAUUAUUACAAUUUAGUGUUGAAAUAUAUUUAAUUUUGUAUC